CGUUUGAGAGUUGUAAGAGUAUCGUUAUGUUGCAUAACUAUAAGUUUACUGAAAAUCAAUGCUCGUGAAUUUAUGUCUCUGAUGUAUGGCCUGUCUCCCCAGGGUCUGACAUGGCGCAGAAAAUGACAACCAGUCUCUUGAAAAUGUUUGUUGUUUGUUCCGUUCUUCUAAUAAUAGUUAUUGGCGGGAUUCACGCCGACUUCUGUCAACGCUGGCCGGGCGGCUUAUGUGGAGAACCACAAUACUUGCCUUGCUGCUGGCCACACCUUCGCUGUUCUUUUGGUCACCCUAGAGUAUGUGUGAAAAAUUCUAUUGGAUGAAACCGGAAAACGAUGUGGGCCAGCCGAGAACUUUUCUUGAUCCGAAUCCUGCCUAAACUGCAUGCAAAGGAGAACGUGUGGAGCUGGCACUUUUCAAAGGCACUUUAUUACUAAGCUAAACAUUCUCUAAAACUGCGAGAAGAGGAUCGUAGAUCAACUCUGUAUUUUCCAAACAGCUUGUCUUCGCUUUUAUAUAUAAUAACUGCUUUAUAUAGUUGUAGUAAACAAUAUACAGAAUCUUUGACUUAAACAAUAUCAACAGUUCAAAAAGCUUUGAAUUGUCAUUAAAUAAUUGGAUGCUGAUAAUAAAUCAAUCAAAUAAUUAGAGUGAAUAUGUGCUGAUACUUACUUCACUAUUAAGUGACUCAAACGUAAACUACAUUUUUAAUGGAGUCUGAAACAUCCAGAUCUAUAAGUCGUAAUAAGACAUUAUUAAUUAUUUUAAUAGUCACACUACACUUAUUUAUGAAAUGCCGCAAGUGAGAAGUGAAAAAUAUUUUUAACCUAAGCAGUAUCUUAGUCAACACGAGCUAAAUGACCACGUCACAGACUUUUAAAGCUAUUUCU
This is a long non-coding RNA of Limulus polyphemus (Atlantic horseshoe crab), 887 nucleotides long. RefSeq lists it as uncharacterized. The record is from RefSeq and is a predicted model, not a curated record. The transcript has 4 exons. Lineage: Eukaryota; Metazoa; Arthropoda; Merostomata; Xiphosura; Limulidae.